AUGAGCCUAAUGGCAGCAAUGGAGACUCUGCAUCAUCUCUUACUUCUUCUUGCUUCUUUUGCAUCAAAUGAGUCAUGAGGCUACUCUCUUCUAUCUGGAUUCACACAAUGAAAAAACUCUCGGUUAAAGUGUUAAAAAUAUAGAUUCUUCUGUUUUUGUUUGAUUCAUUACCUCCAUGACUGCAGUUGAUGCCAAUAGAUUUUCACAUUUGCCAAGCAUAUAUUUUUCUUUUGCAGCUAUAACAGCGAGAUCUGAAACAAGCUUAUUCAUCUCUUCCAUCUGUGAGUGUAGAGAGCAGAUCGAUGAUCCCAUAGUCUGCAUAACAUCAAGUGCUGAGGACAUAGCCAACUUCAGAGUUCCAAGGUCCACCUUUGAUAACAAGAGCGUUACUAAGAUCCAA
Molecule: long non-coding RNA, 400 nt
Filed under: Brassica napus (rape)
Lineage: Eukaryota; Viridiplantae; Streptophyta; Magnoliopsida; Brassicales; Brassicaceae
Description: long non-coding RNA (BNAP_LNC016235)
Source: RNAcentral